AUUUGGAGGAAAGAGGGUUGCUGUGGUAUGCUGGGGUUCCGCUUCAAUGCCUAGUCACCUCAGAUUUUCCUGUACCUGCAGGUAUCACCAGUGAAGCCUGCGAAGCAGCAAAGAUGGCAGUCUGCCCCGUCUUCUAGGAGCUCUGUCACAGGGAGACAAGCCGUGCUGUGCUGGCGGACCACUUCAGCUCAUGGUCACCUCAGACACCCUGAAGCCUGAAGGCUGGAACAACUAAAUUGCCCAAACAGCAAAUAUGACAGCAUCUACAGAAAUCAUUUUAUUUGAGUUAUGUAGCAAGAACCCAACUUAAGCAAAUAUAAAAUUUACAACUAAGUCACUAUUUGGAUAUUAAUGUGUAUGCUAAACUGAUUUGUUCAUGGGCUAGUCAGCUAUUCAUAUGACCUUUACAAUUUUCUGAAUUCCAUUUUUUGGUUUAAAAAAGAAAACAAGCUGAUACUUAUCACUUUCUAAGAAACAUUUGAUUUAAAUUCUUAUGCCUUCAAUAUCUCAUGUAAAAUGCUAGUUUCAUUACUACUCUAAGUAAAUAUGUGUAAAACAGAAAGUAUCUGAGACAAGUCUCAAUCAGUUUUGAAGUUUAUUUGGCCAAGGUUAAGGAUAUGCCUCGAAGAAAUAAACAUGCAAUCACAGAAACAGUC
This 656-nucleotide long non-coding RNA is filed under the name Pan troglodytes (chimpanzee). RNAcentral's name for it is "lincRNA". Lineage: Eukaryota; Metazoa; Chordata; Mammalia; Primates; Hominidae. The record is from RNAcentral.